This is a non-coding RNA of Arachis ipaensis, 698 nucleotides long. Lineage: Eukaryota; Viridiplantae; Streptophyta; Magnoliopsida; Fabales; Fabaceae. The record is from RefSeq and is a predicted model, not a curated record.
UCUUCUAAUAACAGUUAUUAUUUGGGGGCAGAGUUGCUGAGAUCUGAUUCUCUCAUUGGUGAGUCAUUGCUUAAACAUUUGUGGCAUCAUCAGGAUGCCAUUUUGUGCUGUUCUUUGAAGUCGGUGCCGGUGUUCAUCUUUGCAAACCAGGCUGGCCUUGACAUGUUGGAAACAACUUUGGUGGCUUUACAAGACAUCACAUGGGUAUUUAGAGGAAGGUAAUUCAUUAAGUCUGCAAAAUUGUAACAAUGAAUCUUUCUCUAAGUGUUGUUUAUGUAUGUUCAACUUUAAUUUGUGGGAAAUGGGAAUUGUUUCUUUCAUUAACUGUUCUGUUUCUUUGUUUAUCAGUGCCAUGUAUUAACUCCAUCUUGUGAAGGCAGAGAAAGCUAGAAGAUACAUUCCAAAAGAAUUCAAAUAGGUUGAAGCUUUUGGGGGGCCAAUAUUCUUGUAGAUAAUAAAAGUUGCAUUAAACUUGCAGAUUUUGGGGCCUCCAAACAAGUUGAGCUGGUAAUCUAAGUCUUCUCUAUUUCUCUACUAUAGUACUAUUAGAUAUACUAUUUUGACUUUGUGAGGAUCUUGUAUCUGCGUAUUUGUUGAAGAAGCGUCUUUGUUUGAUUUAGGAGUUAUUUAUAACAUAGUCUCGAUUUUGUGUUCCUAUUAAUAUCUUAGUUAUUUAUAACUAUCUUUGAUGUGCAUCA